This 5731-nucleotide long non-coding RNA is filed under the name Homo sapiens (human). RNAcentral's name for it is "PREDICTED lncRNA (TCONS_00212988)". The record is from RNAcentral. Lineage: Eukaryota; Metazoa; Chordata; Mammalia; Primates; Hominidae.
UGUCGGGUCCCAAAAUACGUGGUCUAAAGUCCUUUGGGCUCCUGCCGCUGCCAGCACUGAUCAUAUGCUCUUGACCCUGGUCGGGUGGGGGGAUGUCUGGAUACCUCCUCUGUGGAAAGAACUGGCCACACAUCCGCAGAGGUGACUCGGGCUGAGAACCCAGGCUCCUCCUCCCUUUGGUGACACGCCCCUCGGUCCCUCACUGGCACUUCUCCCUCCGGCCACACGGCGGCGUCUCGCCAUAGCGCAGCGGCCGAUGGUACAGCCCGCUCCCCCCUCGCGCUCUCGGACAGUGGGUCCUUCCACUUGUAGAAAAGCAUUGUGGGACGGAAGCCUGUCCUUUCUUCCUUUUGGUGCGAGCUUGCUGUGGUUUUUGCUCUGGGUCCUCUGGGAUGGCGCCUGGCUGUGGCCGCGUGGUCUCUCACGCAGGGGCGCCGGGCGGGGGAACGCGGCCACCCUGAGUCUGGUGAGUCGACUGCGGCGGCCUGUGUCCGAAGUGUCCGGGGCCGUGAACAAGGGCAGCGGCCUGGCCUCAGGCCUGCGUUCCCACGUUUGGAAACGGGGAGCUUCGUCGAUUUGUGUUUACAUCAUCGACUAUGCCAGGGAGUUCUCCAGAUAAGCCUGGUUUUAUUUUCGUCAGUGAAAAGGCCUUACCGUAUAACUGACUUUAUGCUUGCCCUGCCCCCGUAUAAAAUAACUUAAAAGCAGCGUGCCUGGUUACAGCUGUUUCCACGUGCGGUGCUCGUCGGGAGUGAUCACCUACCCUACAGGUGGAAGAUGGAUGCCUGAAGUGUAGACUGCUGCUAGCUGAAUACCAUCUGGGAGCAUAAAGGUGACCUGAAGGAUGUCCUUGGUGAGGAUUUUGAAAAUUUGAUCUUCACAAGAGUUGCCUGGAUCAUUUGAAAUUUCUGGGAGUCUGAGGAGUACUGACAUAAUUACCUGCUGGAGUCUGUAAAUACACAUUUAAGACAGUGAGGAUGUGAAUAAAUAUAUUAAUGCACUUUGGCAUUUGUGUUUUAAGUGAUUAACUGCCAGAAACAGCUAUUUCUAAAAAGUUAUAAGGGAGGAGGGGUUCUUUUUUGAUCAGUAUUCACUGCUGUCACCAUAAUUAAUAGCCUUAAAAUAGCUUGUGUUUGGCCCAAAGAGAAAUGUACUUUCUUCCAGUGACUCAAAAAUCGUGGCUAGAACUAGACUGAUUUCUAGUGACAGGUGUGCUUUACUGCACUCAAUGCGUAUUUUUCCUCCAACUAAAUUGUACAUUUAAUGUUGCCAUAUCUUCUGCCUUUGCUUUGCAGGAAACGACAAAUAAUGUAUAGAGGUAUUCAAAAAAUUUAUUGAAAGCACUGUACUAGGAGCUGAGAACACGAUGAUGAGCACAACACAGUUCUUCCCUUUGGAAACAUAGAUAAGUGGAGGGAAUGUCAUCACAAAUGUAAAACUUCACUAUGAGAUGAGUUCCGUGAUAGGAUUUUCUUAGGGAAACCUGAGAAAGAGUUGAGACUAAAGGUAUGUGUCAUAUUUUUCACAAGGCAAAACUGGGGGAAUGACAUAUACAGAGGCUUGGGCUAGAAAAAAGAUACCGUUAGUCCACUUACUUUUGAGACAGUUUUGGCUGCUUUCCCUCUUCAGUGCCCUGUUUUAGAACUGAGUCCUUACUGAGGCUUGUAAGAUGGCUAUUAUGGGAGGUGAGAGUGUUACAAAAUGAGGCUGAAGAGGUAGGUAAAGAAGCCAGACCACUUCAGGCUCCCUCUGGCUUUAUUAAAGCAAGAUAAAUCCAUGGUGGAAAAUCAGAUUUGCAAGAAAAGGUAGUUGAACUAGGUUGCUUAUUGUUGUCUAGACAAGAGACCAGCUUGGACUAGUAAAAUUAGUGAAAUAAGAUCGUUUAUAGUUGGAUGACAGAGCCAACUAGACGUGGUAAUAGUGGAGGUGUCCAUAACUGCUAGGUGUCCAGCUUGCACACUGAUGAGCAUAAUGACCCUAGAUUCAGCUGGGGAGCAGCAUUUAAACAGCUGAAUUUUUAAAUUACCUUUGAGAAACCCAAAUGGUCUUUUUGCAGUAGCACAUUACUCAGUAGUCUAAACUACAGAAAUAAACCUUAAGGCCAUGGGUAUAAAUGAGAUCUGCUGGUGGUAGAGGAAGAGGGCCUAGGGUCUGAAGUUUGAGAAACUCCACUAAUUAAUGGCAAGGUAAAGCAUGAUAAGCCAGAAAGGAUGGUCAGUGGUAGGAGCAAAAUAGGAUUAUAUUAAAGAAGCAAAAGAAUGUCCUAAAAAUUCUCCCUGGGAUUAAGUAACACAGUGAUUGAUAUUAGUGGAGUAGAGGGAAAGAUCCAUGUUAGAGAUAGCUUAAGAUAGGGAUUAGAUGAAUUGAGGGCAAUGACUAAAGAUACUGCUUGCAAGAAAACUGGCUGAGAAUGAGAGGAAAAUCUUAGUUGCUUGGCGGGAGGGGGUUUGUGGUUGUGAAAGAUAGUUUUGUUUAAUCUUAGUCUUAAAUUUAAAACCAAGUAGCAAGGAUCUAGCUGAGAGAAUAAUUGAAUACAUUAAUAUAGGAGGACAGACAAAGAUCCUGAAAAGGCUGGGAGAAGAGCAUCCAAAGCACAGGUGGAGAGACAAAAAGGUUAGGGCUGCUGGCAGCUGUGGAGAGAACUGUACGUGGUAAGGGGGAGAUAUAAGAUGUCCUGCAUAAGUAUUUUCCCUGUAGAUUGCAAAGUCAUCUAUGGAGAGGAAAGGUACAAAAUAGUCACUGGGGAGAGCAGGUGAAUUAGAUGGCCAAGCAGGGUGGAUGGAUCAUUUGAGGUUUGGGGUGACAGAUCAACUGAGAUCCACUUACACUUCUGAAAACGCAAGAACACUUUAGAAAUUAACAACACUUAAAGCUUUUUACAUCAUUUGUAAAUAACUGGUGGAACUUAACACCACAAAAUAAAGUAUUAUAAAGAACUUUAUAUGAAUAAAAAUAUAUGCAGUCUGAAAGUGAUGCCUCAGUCCUUUUGCAUCUGGGCACUAGUUGAGAACCAGCCCAGCCCUGGGAAGACGUCCUCCCACUUGUACUAUUGCACAGCAGGCUAGCUGCAGUUCAGAAUUCCAGAAUGUUCAUCAGAUGCAUCUGGUCUUGGUUGUGGUGGACACAGACACAAGAUAGAAAUGAAUGAUUGCUAUCCUGUUCCAGAAAUGAAAAUGUGGUAUCAAGUGAAUUUUUACAAAAUACUUAUUCUUCCAGUUAAAACAAAAAGGUCCUUCAGCACAACUGUGCUGUAGUUAAACCAUGGCCUAUAAUCCCAGCACUUUGGGAGGCUGAGGCAGGCGGAUCACUUGAGGUCAGGAGUUCGAGACCAGCCUCCAACAUGGCAAAGCCCUGUCUCUACUAAAAAUACAAAAAGAAUUAGCCGGGUGUUGUGGUGCACGCCUGUAAUCCCAGCUGCUCGGGAGCCUGAGACAGGAGAAUCGCUUAACCCAGUAAGUGGAGGCUGCGGUGAGCUGACACGGUGCCGCUGCACUCCAGCCUGGGCGACAGAGUGAUAACAUCUCAAAAAAAAAAAAAAAAAGAAGCAAAAGAUAAUGUAUUUUCUCAUGCUGAAGAAAUACUUGCAGGUCUGAGAUUUGAAUUAAGAUACCUAUUUCACAGUUUCAAAAGUACCAGUGGCGCACACAACCUUCCCACCCCUACCCUUGACCCUUCAUCAGGAUCAAGUCUCUGUCUUGAGGCGGGAAGCUUGUAUAGUUUUUAUUGUUUUUGCUGUGUGUUUUCCAGCCAGGUUGUUUGUAGAUGUCUGAGGUUUUUCUUCCAUCAGGCUAUCUUUAGACCCAUUUCUUCUCUAAAAUAUAUUUGAAAAAUGUAGAAAGAUUCAGAAGAAAACAGCCAAAUGAAGUAUUUUAAUUACAUCAGAAACCAAGCUGCUCUUAAAUUUAAGAUACUGAGUUAAUUCAAAAGUUUCAUAAUACCAAAAGCUAUUCAAUAAAUGUUCCCUCUAAAUAGCUGUGCAAAAUAAAGUUUGUAUUUAAACUUUAAUAUACAAAGUUAGUCUGACAUUUACAUGCAUAACGAUUUUAUUCAUGAAUAUUAGGCAUAAUUCACCCAAAUCAGUGUCAUUACUUUUGUUAACAAUUCCCAAACCAGGCUCUCAACCUCACUCUUCCAAACAGGAUAGUGAUGGAGACUUGGAGGCAAUUUAUAAUCCCCUGAUUAUAUUUUCAGUAGUCAAUGAAUGGAACAAUGUCUUGUGAGCCCCUAUCACUUGUCUCAUACGGAGAAACAGGGCAGCUCAUUACCAGAGCCUGGGCACCACAUCCACUAGUUUGUAAAACUUAGGUUUUACACAUCUCCCAUCAUCACUGGUGGAGGCUCUGAGAAUGACACUAACUCACAACUACUACUUCUUAUGCGAACCCCUCCUCCUCUUACUUCCAAGGAUGGUCUAACAUUGUCAGUGUAUCAGGCUGGCAAGCAUAUUUCCUUCCCCAAAUGUAUAUUCCCAUAAAUAAUGGGCUAUACCGUCCCAAUCUAUUUUGAGAUUUGUUUGAGCUAAAAAUAAAUAAAUCCCUCUUAAAAUGCAGCUACCUUUAAUCUGUUCCUAUGACUGGCUUAAUUUGUUUUACUGACAUUCAAAAAGCACUGAUGGAAUAAUUAUUCUGCCUAUCAUGGGAAGCAUGAACCCAUCUAUUUGGGAUGGAAGAUUUCUAGAUAGCCAGAGGUGGGAAGAGAACACCAGUGAAUGUGAGAGGAGAAUACAGCAGAAGAAUUACCAGAAAAAAAGUGCUAGGAGAGGACCUGAAAUAAGUACUAUGUUGUAAGUUUGUCUAGGAUUGAAUCUGUCCACUCUGCAGACCUUAAGAAAUUAAGUUGCUAUUCUUCCCCAUUCUUAGCAGCCUUUGCGUGAAAAGGCAAGGUGAGGUGUAAGGCAGGUCACUGCCAGAACUCUGGUGGCAUUGUGGUGGAAAUUAGAACUUAAAGUUGUACCUUAAAAAUGUACCUUUCCAGCUUCCACUGGUCACUCCAGCCCCUUCUCCGCUUGGCAGCCAGAUGAGUGGCUUCCUUUUAGCACUUGGAAUAAAACAGUAAGAUCCAAACGCUUCCCACAGCCUUUAAGUCCCUGUGUUAUCUGCCUUUCCCCUCAAGCUCACUGCAUGUUGGUCUUUCAGCUCCUCAAAUACCCAGGCCCUCUCCAGAGUCAGCAUUUUCCCUACAUUCCUCACUCUGAUUACAUCAGCCUUGCAGCCACUCACAUGGCUAGCUCCUCACCUGCCAGGUCUCAGCUUUAAAUGCCACUCUCUGAGAUGGCCUCUGACCACCCUAAACAUGUAAAGUGAGGUCACUUUGUUGCUUCUCUAGCUCAGGCAUUUCUUUGUAAUGCAUACUCCUAUUUGUUUUAACUGUUUACUUUUAUGCCUCCAGGUCUAGGCUAGGGUCAUCAAACUUUUUUAUAAAGAGCCAGACUGUAAACUACAUCCUGUUUGUGUCACGUGUUACUGUUAUUUUGUUUUGCUUUUAAACAACCCUUUAAAGGUGUAAAAACCAUUACUGGCUUCUGGGCUGUACAAAGGCAGCAGACUAGAUUUGGCCCUUAGGCCAUGGUUUGCUGAUUGCUCAGACCAGUGCUCAACACUCCUUAGAUGGGCUCACUGGAUAUUUACUGAAUUCAAAAUCAAGAGUGUCCUGGAGACAGGCUUAGAAUCAGUGCCACUGAUCAGAAGAUGCAUGUGAGUUCUUGUAUCCCGCAAAGUGAAAGCUAUUCUUC